Molecule: transfer RNA, 76 nt
Filed under: Rhodospirillales bacterium RIFCSPLOWO2_02_FULL_58_16
Lineage: Bacteria; Pseudomonadati; Pseudomonadota; Alphaproteobacteria; Rhodospirillales
Also listed under: 1 other name
Description: tRNA-Val
Rfam family: tRNA
About the family: Transfer RNA (tRNA) molecules are approximately 80 nucleotides in length. Their secondary structure includes four short double-helical elements and three loops (D, anti-codon, and T loops). Further hydrogen bonds mediate the characteristic L-shaped molecular structure. tRNAs have two regions of fundamental functional importance: the anti-codon, which is responsible for specific mRNA codon recognition, and the 3' end, to which the tRNAs corresponding amino acid is attached (by aminoacyl-tRNA synthetases). tRNAs cope with the degeneracy of the genetic code in two manners: having more than one tRNA (with a specific anti-codon) for a particular amino acid; and 'wobble' base-pairing, i.e. permitting non-standard base-pairing at the 3rd anti-codon position.
Source: RNAcentral
GGGCGGUUAGCUCAGCUGGAAGAGCGUCACGUUUACACCGUGAAUGUCGGCGGUUCGAUCCCGUCACCGCCCACCA